Molecule: long non-coding RNA, 322 nt
Filed under: Vigna radiata
Lineage: Eukaryota; Viridiplantae; Streptophyta; Magnoliopsida; Fabales; Fabaceae
Description: long non-coding RNA (VRAD_LNC006325)
Source: RNAcentral
GGGAGUUGUGAGCAAUAGGCGGGGAGGAGGGGAAGAGUGGCGAGGGAGGAUAGGGGAGGGGAGGAAAAGCUCACGAAGGUGGGGGAGGGAAGAUUGACAAGGAAGGUGGGAGGGGAGAGAGAAGGAUACACACAGACAUAUAUGUUUACCAACAGCCUAUUCCUUCAAUAAUUACCGAUGACAUUUUUUCAUCAAUAAUUACUGACGAUCAAUAUUUGUUAGUAAUGUUUACCAACAAAGGUAUUACCGACAGAUAAAUGAUCGUCUAUAAUUCGUUACUGACAAAUUUUGACUAUUUCUAACGAAAUAUGUUUGUCGAUAA